RNAcentral lists this long non-coding RNA (428 nucleotides) under Anas platyrhynchos platyrhynchos (common mallard). Its description in RNAcentral is "lncRNA (ENSAPLG00000021196.1)". Lineage: Eukaryota; Metazoa; Chordata; Aves; Anseriformes; Anatidae. The record is from RNAcentral.
CAAAAAGAGAUUCCAGUUUCUGUUUGUCAUUACCAGUUUCAUGGCAAUUGUUAAUAGGGUUGAAACUGGAAAAAGGAUUGCACACCAUCAUGCCUUGGCCAAAUUUCAUCUCCAGUAACUGUAUUGAACCACCUUAAUAUCUUCCUGUGGUUUCCAUUAUUGAUCAUAUUGCUAUGUUUUAUUGCCCUUGCUGUGUUUUCCUCAAGAUGUACUGCCUUUUGCUGGUUCACAGCCAGCAAAUUCCUCGUUCACAUCAACAUGAAACAUUUCUUCCAACUGUGGAUAUUCAUUCAGAUCAGCCUACAGGAACGAGUUCCUAAGCUGGACAAAAUACACUUAAAUUUCUUUGAAAUACUGCAGUCUGAAAAAUUCUUUUUCUUUGAUUAUAUAAAGUUGCUGUCUCCUCUAGCAGCACAAUAGGAGAGGAU